RNAcentral lists this ribosomal RNA (786 nucleotides) under Ferdinandcohnia aciditolerans. RNAcentral's name for it is "bacterial SSU rRNA". It matches the Rfam family "Bacterial small subunit ribosomal RNA", at positions 57 to 825 of the family's 1533-position model. Lineage: Bacteria; Bacillati; Bacillota; Bacilli; Caryophanales; Bacillaceae. The record is from RNAcentral.
GCAGUCGAGCGGACCUUUGGGAGCUUGCUCCCAAAGGUUAGCGGCGGACGGGUGAGUAACACGUGGGCAACCUGCCUAUAAGACUGGGAUAACUUCGGGAAACCGGAGCUAAUACCGGAUAACAUAUGAGACCACAUGGUCUCAUAUUGAAAGAUGGCUUCUCGCUAUCACUUAUAGAUGGGCCCGCGGCGCAUUAGCUAGUUGGUGAGGUAACGGCUCACCAAGGCGACGAUGCGUAGCCGACCUGAGAGGGUGAUCGGCCACACUGGGACUGAGACACGGCCCAGACUCCUACGGGAGGCAGCAGUAGGGAAUCUUCCGCAAUGGACGAAAGUCUGACGGAGCAACGCCGCGUGAGCGAAGAAGGUCUUCGGAUCGUAAAGCUCUGUUGUUAGGGAAGAACAAGUAUCGUUCGAAUAGGGCGGUACCUUGACGGUACCUAACCAGAAAGCCACGGCUAACUACGUGCCAGCAGCCGCGGUAAUACGUAGGUGGCAAGCGUUAUCCGGAAUUAUUGGGCGUAAAGCGCGCGCAGGCGGUCCUUUAAGUCUGAUGUGAAAGCCCACGGCUCAACCGUGGAGGGUCAUUGGAAACUGGGGGACUUGAGUGCAGAAGAGGAGAGCGGAAUUCCACGUGUAGCGGUGAAAUGCGUAGAGAUGUGGAGGAACACCAGUGGCGAAGGCGGCUCUCUGGUCUGUAACUGACGCUGAGGCGCGAAAGCGUGGGGAGCGAACAGGAUUAGAUACCCUGGUAGUCCACGCCGUAAACGAUGAGUGCUAAGUGUUA